RNAcentral lists this unclassified non-coding RNA (160 nucleotides) under Singulisphaera sp. GP187. RNAcentral describes it as "Bacterial large signal recognition particle RNA". The stretch from base 41 to 138 matches the Rfam family "Bacterial small signal recognition particle RNA". From Rfam's summary of the family: The signal recognition particle (SRP) is a universally conserved ribonucleoprotein involved in the co-translational targeting of proteins to membranes. The record is from RNAcentral. Lineage: Bacteria; Pseudomonadati; Planctomycetota; Planctomycetia; Isosphaerales; Isosphaeraceae.
UCAACCGCCAAGAGUCAGUUGGCGGGGGUCUGGGUGAGCCGGGGGGGACCCGGGCAAUGGGGGCUUGCGAACCUGGUCAGGCCGGGAACGGAGCAGCCAUAAGCAUCGCCUUCAUGUGCCCGGGAGAACCUCCCCGGCUCUCCCAGUCCCCUGCGUUUGA